Molecule: ribosomal RNA, 512 nt
Filed under: uncultured Actinomyces sp.
Lineage: Bacteria; Bacillati; Actinomycetota; Actinomycetes; Actinomycetales; Actinomycetaceae
Description: bacterial SSU rRNA
Rfam family: Bacterial small subunit ribosomal RNA
Source: RNAcentral
GUGGCGUCAGACGACGCUGGCGGCGUGCUUAACACAUGCAAGUCAACGGGGCCUGCCUGGCUUUGGUUGGAUGGGUGAGUGGCGAACGGGUGAGUAACACGUGAGUAACCUGCCCUCUUCGUCUUUGGAUAACUGCUUGAAAGGGCGGCUAAUACGGGAUGUUCUGGCUGCCUCGCAUGGGGUGGUUUGGAAAGAUUCGGCCUGGUUUUGGUUGUUUUGGUGGGGGAUGGGCUCGCGGCUUAUCAGCUUGUUGGUGGGGUGAUGGCCUACCAAGGCGGUGACGGGUAGCCGGCCUGAGAGGGUGGACGGUCACACUGGGACUGAGACACGGCCCAGACUCCUGCGGGAGGCAGCAGUGGGGGAUUUUGCACAAUGGGCGCAGGCCUGAUGCAGCGACGCCGCGUGAGGGAUGGAGGCCUUCGGGUUGUGAACCUCUGUCGCCGGUGAUGUAGGCUCUGCUUUGUGGGUGGGGUUGACGGUAGCCGGGGUAUGAAGUGCCGGCUAACUACGUG